GAGAAGAGAGCUAAGGGGACCCGGGAAUGGCACAGAAGCUACAGUAAACACGAGAGAAAAAAAAGGCAGGCCUUGGGGGGACACAGGAGCAAGAGAAUUAGGGAUUGCCAGGACACCAGUGAAAACAGAAUGGAAGGAGGUCACAGAGAAAAAAAGAAGGGUGUAGUGGAAUGUCUGGGCAAGAAACAUUCCCUUAUGGCCCCAGCAGUUGGUGCCUCCUAUUGGUGGCAGUGUCUUCUCCAGGAUCCUGUAAACCAGAGGCUAUGUCAGGAGCUAAAGACAUGAUGGCCAAGAAGAACUAUGCACAGGACAAACAAGCAGGAGACAGGGUUCUGGGAGAGAAGGUGAGCUCACUUCUGCAGAUGACUCUACUCACUGGCCACACCAUGCUCUAUAAACACCCUGCACCAUCUGUGAUGUCAGCUGCCAGCCGCCUGGAGAAUCUGCCCUGCUCUGGGAGCUUGUAUUAAAACACUCACUUAUAACUCCCUAUUAAUUUUUCACGAGGAGUUAUUUUUAACUUGCUCAAACCAUUGUCUGAAUAUGCCAAAUAUAUUUUCUUAAUGAACGAGCC
This 574-nucleotide long non-coding RNA is filed under the name Pan paniscus (pygmy chimpanzee). RNAcentral describes it as "lncRNA (ENSPPAG00000045462.1)". Lineage: Eukaryota; Metazoa; Chordata; Mammalia; Primates; Hominidae. The record is from RNAcentral.